RNAcentral lists this ribosomal RNA (229 nucleotides) under uncultured bacterium. RNAcentral's name for it is "partial 16S ribosomal RNA". It matches the Rfam family "Bacterial small subunit ribosomal RNA", at positions 568 to 796 of the family's 1533-position model. The record is from RNAcentral.
UGCGUAGGCGGAUCAGUAAGUCAGUGGUGAAAUCUCUCGGCUCAACCGGGAAACUGCCAUUGAUACUGUUGAUCUUGAGUUCGGUAGAGGUAGGCGGAAUGUGUAAUGUAGCGGUGAAAUGCUUAGAUAUUACACAGAACACCAAUUGCGUAGGCAGCUUAUUAUGCCGACACUGACGCUGAGGCACGAAAGCGUGGGGAGCGAACAGGAUUAGAUACCCUGGUAGUCC